AAAGCAGGACGCAAUUGCAGUGCUAACUUUUGUGGUAGUACUGUCAUUAUACCUGCUGAGAGCAUCAUCCUGCUUUGGAGCUAUGAGAGCGGUCAUCUUUUAUAUGACAUGUGAAUGCUCUGUUGCGGAGACACUU
Molecule: small nucleolar RNA, 136 nt
Organism: Labeo rohita (rohu)
Lineage: Eukaryota; Metazoa; Chordata; Actinopteri; Cypriniformes; Cyprinidae
Product: small nucleolar RNA SNORA69
Exons: 1
Source: RefSeq, a predicted model, not a curated record